This 661-nucleotide ribosomal RNA is filed under the name uncultured bacterium. RNAcentral describes it as "bacterial SSU rRNA". It matches the Rfam family "Bacterial small subunit ribosomal RNA", at positions 188 to 851 of the family's 1533-position model. The record is from RNAcentral.
CAUGGCAUUGUAUUGAAAGUUACGGCGGCGACGGAUUGGCUCGCGUCCGAUUAGCUGGUUGGCGGGGUAACGGCCCACCAAGGCUACGAUCGGUAGGGGUUCUGAGAGGAAGGCCCCCCACAAUGGGACUGAGACACGGCCCAUACUCCUACGGGAGGCAGCAGUGAGGAAUAUUGGUCAAUGGGCGGAAGCCUGAACCAGCCAUGCCGCGUGCGGGAAGGAGGCCCUAUGGGCUGUGAACCGCUUUUGCCUGGGGGCAAUAAGGGCGUCGCGCACGUCCGAUGAGAGUACCAGGCGAAUAAGCAUCGGCUAACUCCGUGCCAGCAGCCGCGGUAAUACGGGGGAUGCGAGCGUUAUCCGGAUUCAUUGGGUUUAAAGGGUGCGUAGGCUGUGCGUCAAGUCGGGGGUGAAAUUCCGGUGCUCAACACCGGGGCUGCCCUUGAUACUGUCGCGCUGGAGUGCGGAUGCCGCCGGAGGAAUGAGUGGUGUAGCGGUGAAAUGCUUAGAUAUCACUCAGAACACCGAUUGCGAAGGCAUCUGGCGAAUCCGUAACUGACGCUGAGGCACGAAAGCGUGGGGAUAGAACAGGAUUAGAUACCCUGGUAUUCCACGCCGUAAACGAAGAUGGCUAACCGCCGGCGACACACUGUCGGUGGCCAAG